AGAGUUUGAUCCUGGCUCAGAUUGAACGCUGGCGGCAGGCCUAACACAUGCAAGUCGAACGGUAACAGGAAACAGCUUGCUGUUUCGCUGACGAGUGGCGGACGGGUGAGUAAUGUCUGGGAAACUGCCUGAUGGAGGGGGAUAACUACUGGAAACGGUAGCUAAUACCGCAUAACGUCGCAAGACCAAAGAGGGGGACCUUCGGGCCUCUUGCCAUCGGAUGUGCCCAGAUGGGAUUAGCUUGUUGGUGGGGUAACGGCUCACCAAGGCGACGAUCCCUAGCUGGUCUGAGAGGAUGACCAGCCACACUGGAACUGAGACACGGUCCAGACUCCUACGGGAGGCAGCAGUGGGGAAUAUUGCACAAUGGGCGCAAGCCUGAUGCAGCCAUGCCGCGUGUAUGAAGAAGGCCUUCGGGUUGUAAAGUACUUUCAGCGGGGAGGAAGGGAGUAAAGUUAAUACCUUGCUCAUGACGUACCCGCAGAAGAG
RNAcentral lists this ribosomal RNA (489 nucleotides) under uncultured bacterium. RNAcentral describes it as "bacterial SSU rRNA". It matches the Rfam family "Bacterial small subunit ribosomal RNA", at positions 8 to 489 of the family's 1533-position model. The record is from RNAcentral.